UUUUUUUUUUUCUUUUCUUUUUUAACUCGCUGCUCUCUCUGGUCACGAUUCUCUCCCAGGCAUUUAGCAACUCCCUCUUGGCACCCGUCUGGUGCCGAGCCGGAUUGAUAACUCUCUCCACAGCUGUUCCCUUACAGCCGGCCCUCCUCUUUCUGGUAAAUCCAUAUUCCAUUUGCUUUUCUGCAGCAGCCUGCUAUCUCUAGGGUCUCCUUAAAAUAGAUAAACACUGCUCUCCAAGGGAAGUCUCGAGGCAAAACCCACAGCACAUACCAGCCCUAUAAUCUGCUCCAGAAGGCGGGCAGAUAAAAAGAAAGGCAACAGGAACCACCCACCCGUGCCGGCUUUUAUCAUUUACUAAGCACUUUUGACCCACAUGGUCUUAUUUAAUAUUCACAAUAAGCCAUAAUGCAGGUAUAAGGGCUAUUUCCACCUUAUAAAAAGGCCCCUAAAGAAGGAAAGAAUUCGGUGCAGGAAGUAGGACCAGGACUGGGGCCUGUUCUUUUGAAAACAGCUAUGUAAAUUGUAUUUGGUCAGACACACAAGGCCAAGAAUUCAGCUGCAGGGCAGAGAGAGUGCUUUUCUAGCGAACACAAGACCCUGCAUCCAAUCCCCAGCACCUUGAGGGGGGAAAAGAAUAGACAGAAGGCUCUUUGGUGCUCAUUUUGGUGGAUUCUGGCAGAGGGCAUCUCCCAUCUAAUGCGUGGGACGAGACUGUUUGGAGUUUAAGAAUCUCCCCAGUUUGAGACCGUUUCCUUGUACAUAAUGAGCUCAUCCUGCAAAGAGCACCCAAGUCCAAAUACCACAUCUGUUUGUUUCCUAUGCAUAGCCUGAAAUAAGUUUACACGGUAUGUUCAGCAUGCCUGAGUAUUGACUGUGCCCUGUCCCCGUGUCAUCAGGCUUGGAACUUUCCGCUUGUGGCCUCUCUCAUACAAGCUCAAAAGGUUUCAGCAUUUCCAAUUUUGUGCUUUUUUCUUGUGUCCCAUGCUAUGUCUCUGCACCCAACAAAAUAGGUACCACAGGUUCCCCCAAGGAAGACCUCUUCCCAUUUAAACAAAAGCCCCCAUUCCUUUAGGGGCUUGCAGAAAGUUCCUACUUGCUAGAAGGGGAAUCACUCUCCUUAUCUCUGGCAAUAGGAAUCUGUGGCCCUUCAUUAACACAUGACUAUGGUUCUUAUUGAUGAAUGCUACUAGUCUCUGAGGAUCCCCAGCCCAGCUCACAAACCCCUUCCUCCCGGUCCCAUCUAACCCUGCCAGUCUUCUUUCCCCUGUUGCUUCUCCUUGCUUUCCCAGGAGGUGGCCUCUGCAGUUUGGAAUAAACUUCUCCCAAUUUUCAC
RNAcentral lists this long non-coding RNA (1333 nucleotides) under Mus musculus (house mouse). RNAcentral's name for it is "long non-coding RNA chr5:148965939-148967272". Lineage: Eukaryota; Metazoa; Chordata; Mammalia; Rodentia; Muridae. The record is from RNAcentral.